RNAcentral lists this long non-coding RNA (1123 nucleotides) under Centruroides sculpturatus (bark scorpion). Its description in RNAcentral is "uncharacterized LOC111630504, transcript variant X2". Lineage: Eukaryota; Metazoa; Arthropoda; Arachnida; Scorpiones; Buthidae. The record is from RNAcentral.
UUCGGAUAAUAUCGGAUUUAAUUUCGAAACGUUUAAUAUUUUUAUUUAUAUUUGUUAGUUUAUCAAGAGUAUAGCGAGCCGUUAGACCUACGAACGGAUUCGGACGAAGCGGAUUACACGCUGCCGACAGACGAAACCUAUUACAGUCAACCCUGCGACCUACCUCCCGACCAGGAUGACAACGGUGAGUGAGUUCUUUCGGAAAUCUCCACUCGGAUCCCGACACUCGUGUUUCAACCGAUAAUAUGCGCCCCGAUUCAUUAUUCUCUUCCCAUUUGGCCUUUUUAGUCUCCAUCACUAUUCACGCUUUAGUAUACGCAUUUCGCGUGUUAUUAUUAUUAUUUUUUUUCCUAAGAAAGUUUCUAUUGUUUAAUAGCGAAAUUCGCUCCGUUGAGUCGCGCGACGUCUCGCGCGCGACUGAGCGAAGACAUAAAAGUAGUAUUGUGCGAUAUUGGCGGUAAAUUCGAAAGUCGCGUUGGCUUUGUGGCGAUUUCGAUCCGCGUACGGAACGAUCCUUGGUAGUGAAGACGAGAGUUGGCAGGGAUUUAAAGGGUUAACGAAGGAUGGGGACUCCCUGCGCGUCCGGUCGCCUCGACGAAUUUCGCUUUAUCCUUAACGACCGUAAUUUAUGUUCUAUUAAGUUUCGGUUUUCUCCCGAUUAACUUCGCAUUGGGGCGCUCCUUUCGAAUAACGUUACUAAAGUUAAUUGCCGAUUAUUCUCGUUUUUUUUUUUUAUUUGGCGUCACGAAUUUUCGUAACGACACAGAAAAAAAAAGGCGAAUUAGAAUUAAUGGCAAUGUAAUUGGAAUUUUCGUCGUUGAUAAUUGUGUAUUCUCGCGAUAUAAAUUUCAGACGUAUAUCUCGUGAAAUAAUAAUAAUAUUCCGCCGGGGACACAUAUACGAAUUCUUUUUGAACACAUGCCGUUUCUCUAGGUAAUUCGGAUCAGACAUCAUUCUCUGUUGCCUGGAUCGUUCCGGCCAACCCCGUUGAGAGUCGGAUCUCUCUAUAAUCCUAAAAUAGAAACCGACGUAUAACCAAACUGUGUAGAUCCUGGCACAGAAAUCUGUUUCGUCGUAAAUCCUUCCGUCGGGAAUGUUGUCAGGGUUUUCCAAAAAAAAAAAA